Molecule: ribosomal RNA, 206 nt
Filed under: uncultured bacterium
Lineage: Bacteria
Description: partial 16S ribosomal RNA
Rfam family: Bacterial small subunit ribosomal RNA
Source: RNAcentral
CGUGUAGGCGGACAAUCAAGUCAGAUGUGAAAGCCCUGGGCUCAACCCAGGAACUGCAUUUGAAACUGGCUGUCUUGAGUGUUGGAGAGGGAAGCGGAAUUCCUGUGUAGAGGUGAAAUUCGUAGAUAUCAGGAGGAACACCAGCGGCGAAGGCGGCUUCCUGGACAACUACUGACGCUGAGACGCGAAAGCGUGGGGAGCAAACA